GAUCAUUAUCGAAUUACAGAGGGUUGAUGCUGGCAGUCUAACUGCAUGUGCUCAUUCUCCUAAUCCAUUUACACUUUGUGCACAUUGCUUUUGAAGGGAGGGUAGAACCUGCCUUCGAAAUUUACAAGCUCUUAUCUGUGAUUAUGAAUGUUUGACUGCCGCAAGGCAAAAAUUUAAUACAACUUUUAACAACGGAUCUCUUGGCUCUCGCAUCGAUGAAGAACGCAGCGAAAUGCGAUAAGUAAUGUGAAUUGCAGAAUUCAGUGAAUCAUCGAAUCUUUGAACGCACCUUGCGCUCCCUGGUAUUCCGGGGAGCACGCCUGUUCGAGUGUCAUGAAACUCUCAAGCAAGAUAGAUUUGUUUCUGUCUUUGUUUGGAUUUGGACUUUGCUGUGUUCCAUGCAGCUGGUCUUAAAUGUAUUAGCUGGUCCUGAUGAAGGUUUGGUUCUACUCGGCGUGAUAAUUAUCUAACGUUGAGGACAGUCUCUGGGACUGGCCAGGCUCUCUUUGGAUUGCUUCUAAUCAUCUUAGGAUAAUUGCUUAAUAUCUGACCUCGAAUCAGGUGGGACUACCCGCUGAACUUAAGCAUAUCAAUAAGCGGAGGAAAAGAAACUAACAAGGAUUCCCCUAGUAACGGCGAGUGAAGCGGGAUGAGCUCAAAUUUAAAAUCUGGUAGUCUUUGGCUGCCCGAGUUGUAAUCUAGAGAAGUGUUUUCCGCGCUGGACUGUGUACAAGUUUCCUGGAUAUGGAACAUCAUAGAGGGUGAGAAUCCCGUCCUUGACACAGACUCCCAGUGCUUUGUGAUGCGCUCUCAAAGAGUCGAGUUGUUUGGGAAUGCAGCUCAAAAUGGGUGGUAAAUUCCAUCUAAAGCUAAAUAUUGGCGAGAGACCGAUAGCGAACAAGUACCGUGAGGGAAAGAUGAAAAGAACUUUGGAAAGAGAGUUAAACAGUACGUGAAAUUGCUGAAAGGGAAACGCUUGAAGUCAGUCGCGUUGUCCAGAGAUCAACCUUGCUUUUGCUUGGUGCACUUUCUGGUUCAACGGGUCAGCAUCAAUUUUGACUAUUGGAAAAAGGUUGAGGGAAUGUGGCAUCUUUGGAUGUGUUAUAGCCCUUGGUUGUAUACAAUGGUUGGGAUUGAGGAACUCAGCACGCCGCAAGGCCGGGUUUUAA
RNAcentral lists this ribosomal RNA (1169 nucleotides) under uncultured fungus. RNAcentral describes it as "eukaryotic LSU rRNA". The stretch from base 548 to 1169 matches the Rfam family "Eukaryotic large subunit ribosomal RNA", at positions 1 to 621 of the family's 3401-position model. The record is from RNAcentral. Lineage: Eukaryota; Fungi.